RNAcentral lists this ribosomal RNA (503 nucleotides) under uncultured bacterium. Its description in RNAcentral is "bacterial SSU rRNA". It matches the Rfam family "Bacterial small subunit ribosomal RNA", at positions 28 to 526 of the family's 1533-position model. The record is from RNAcentral.
GAUGAACGCUGGCGGCAUGCCUAACACAUGCAAGUCGAACGGAGUUACACGCUGAGAAGUUUUCGGACGGAUCUUGUGUAACUUAGUGGCGGACGGGUGAGUAACGCGUGAGUAACCUGCCUUUCAGAGGGGGAUAACAUUCUGAAAAGAAUGCUAAUACCGCAUAAUAUAAAAGUAUCGCAUGGUACAGUUAUCAAAGGAGCAAUCCGCUGAGAGAUGGACUCGCGUCCGAUUAGCUAGUUGGUGGGGUAAAAGCCUACCAAGGCGACGAUCGGUAGCCGGACUGAGAGGUUGACCGGCCACAUUGGGACUGAGACACGGCCCAGACUCCUACGGGAGGCAGCAGUGGGGGAUAUUGCGCAAUGGGGGAAACCCUGACGCAGCAAUGCCGCGUGAAGGAAGAAGGUUUUCGGAUUGUAAACUUCUUUUGUUAAGGACGAAACAAAUGACGGUACUUAACGAAUAAGCUCCGGCUAACUACGUGCCAGCCGCCGCGGUAAGAC